AACGAGCGCUGGCGGCAUGCCUAACACAUGCAAGUCGAACGAGACCUUCGGGUCUAGUGGCGCACGGGUGCGUAACGCGUGGGAACCUGCCCUUAGGUUCGGAAUAACUCCCCGAAAGGGGUGCUAAUACCGGAUAAUGUCUUCGGACCAAAGAUUUAUCGCCUUUGGAUGGGCCCGCGUUGGAUUAGCUAGUUGGUAGGGUAAAAGCCUACCAAGGCGACGAUCCAUAGCUGGUCUGAGAGGAUGAUCAGCCACACUGGGACUGAGACACGGCCCAGACUCCUACGGGAGGCAGCAGUGGGGAAUAUUGGACAAUGGGCGAAGGCCUGAUCCAGCAAUGCCGCGUGAGUGAUGAAGGCCUUAGGGUUGUAAAGCUCUUUUACCCGGGAUGAUAGUGACAGUACCGGGAGAAUAAGCUCCGGCUAACUCCGUG
This 433-nucleotide ribosomal RNA is filed under the name uncultured bacterium. Its description in RNAcentral is "partial 16S ribosomal RNA". It matches the Rfam family "Bacterial small subunit ribosomal RNA", at positions 29 to 507 of the family's 1533-position model. The record is from RNAcentral.